GGCUCGAGGACGAACGCUGGCGGCGUGCCUAAUACAUGCAAGUCGAACGGUCUUUCUAUGGAAGCUUGCUUCCACUGAGAAGAUAGUGGCGAACGGGUGAGUAACACGUGGGUAACCUGCCCAUAAGAGGGGGAUAACAUCCGGAAACGGGUGCUAAUACCGCAUAGUUUUCUUGAUCGCAUGAUCGGGAAAGGAAAGACGGCCUUUGUGCUGUCGCUUAUGGAUGGACCCGCGGCGUAUUAGUUAGUUGGUGAGGUAACGGCUCACCAAGACGAUGAUACGUAGCCGACCUGAGAGGGUGAUCGGCCACAUUGGGACUGAGACACGGCCCAAACUCCUACGGGAGGCAGCAGUAGGGAAUCUUCCGCAAUGGACGAAAGUCUGACGGAGCAACGCCGCGUGAGUGAAGAAAGGUUUUCGGAUCGUAAAACUCUGUUGUCAGAGAAGAACAAGUUGGAGAGUAACUGCUCCAGCCUUGACGGUAUCUGACCAGAAAGCCACGGCUAACUACGUGCCAGCCGCUGC
Molecule: ribosomal RNA, 525 nt
Filed under: uncultured bacterium
Lineage: Bacteria
Description: bacterial SSU rRNA
Rfam family: Bacterial small subunit ribosomal RNA
Source: RNAcentral